Molecule: ribosomal RNA, 123 nt
Filed under: Petromyzon marinus (sea lamprey)
Lineage: Eukaryota; Metazoa; Chordata; Hyperoartia; Petromyzontiformes; Petromyzontidae
Source: RNAcentral
ACCUGUGACCAAAUCACCCAGAAUGCACCAGAUCUCAUCAGAACUCAAAAGCUAAGCAGGUCUGAGCCUGGAAAAAAACGCUAGGAUGGGUGACCACCAUGCAUAACCAGGUUGUUAUAGGGC